Molecule: ribosomal RNA, 400 nt
Filed under: uncultured bacterium
Lineage: Bacteria
Description: bacterial SSU rRNA
Rfam family: Bacterial small subunit ribosomal RNA
Source: RNAcentral
GGGGAAUAUUGGACAAUGGGCGCAAGCCUGAUCCAGCCAUGCCGCGUGAGUGAUGAAGGCCCUAGGGUUGUAAAGCUCUUUUGGCGGGGAAGAUAAUGACGGUACCCGCAGAAUAAGCCCCGGCUAACUUCGUGCCAGCAGCCGCGGUAAUACGAAGGGGGCUAGCGUUGCUCGGAAUCACUGGGCGUAAAGCGCACGUAGGCGGAUUCUUAAGUCAGAGGUGAAAGCCUGGAGCUCAACUCCAGAACUGCCUUUGAUACUGGGAGUCUCGAGUUCGGGAGAGGUGAGUGGAACUGCGAGUGUAGAGGUGAAAUUCGUAGAUAUUCGCAAGAACACCAGUGGCGAAGGCGGCUCACUGGCCCGAUACUGACGCUGAGGUGCGAAAGCGUGGGGAGCAAAC